This is a non-coding RNA of Coffea arabica (coffee), 1440 nucleotides long. Lineage: Eukaryota; Viridiplantae; Streptophyta; Magnoliopsida; Gentianales; Rubiaceae. The record is from RefSeq and is a predicted model, not a curated record.
GAGUAUUUUUUACGUUUUUUUUUUAUCGGAUCUAUCCAUCCUACGAUCUCGUCUGCAGACACAAAAACAAGAUCUUAAAUACGAUCCCAAUUUUGAAAACUUGAUAGAUAUUAGAAACUGAGGACUUGGACCACUAUUUCUUGCAUUCAUCACCAUUAAUCCCAAUUCAUCCGCCAUGAGCUAGAUUUCCUCAAUCCCUAAUCAUCAGCUCCAUCUUUCACAAAAGAAUCCCCUUUUUCAAUCCAUCUGCCAUUAUCCUAUUACUGUCGGUGAAAAAAUAAAAAUAAAAAUAAAAGAACCGACGGGAAACAGAGGAGGAGCCGCUGCCACUGCUGGGUCGUCGGAGUUUGUCCAUACCACCACGGUUAUCAAGUCGUCAUUUAAAAUGCACUGCGAUUCUAAGUCCCAAGAGUAUGGCCCUCCCUGGAUUAUGUUUUUGCAGCUCCAUCUACAUUCAUCUUAAUCCAGCCCUCCUGUGGUUUGUCCCAGCUGAUGUAUUUCGGCUGGCUCCUGUUCUCCGUGCGAGUAUUGUUAAGCUCCUGAGCCUCUACUGCUUGCUGGAUUAGCUGCUCCGGACGGGCUUUGAGCUCUCUGUCCAGCCUCUGAUGAACCUUCUCAUUCCUCGCUGUCCAUGCCCAGUGCACUACCUCUUGGGAGAGCACGGGCCAGAGCUGAUGAUGUGGUGAAAUUCCCAUUUGCCUCUGGACUCCAAGUGAUUGUGUCUGGGUUAUCCAGCUCCUUGUAGACUGCUGUUGCUCUAGUCAGACUCAGUGUAUUCUGGUGCAGAUAUUUGCUCAGGGUACUCCAGACCCAACCCAAUCUGAUAUUGUUCGUCUUCAUCCCAAUGGGAGCUCGCUGCUCUAAAUUAGGAUUUUGCUGGUGGCCUUCCAACCUCAUGAAACUGCCAACGUCUCUUAUUCCUCUGAUCUUGAGAAAUGUGGAGAAAAUGAAGGAUGAAACUGCCAGCAUUUAAAGAAUGCAGUUUAGAUGAGUUGAAGGUGGCAACUUCAGGAUUCUCAGUUGAAAACUUUUUAUCAGAACAUGGAGAGAAAGCUCCCGAUGUUGUCUACAAUUGGCAGCUUGAAGAUGACGGCUCAUGGAUUGCUGUCAAACGUUUCAAUAAGUCUUUUGGCCGGAUUCCCGAUUAUUAUUACUUCUUUUCAGCAAGUCCCCAGUUAUAGUGUUUCACAAAUGCGAUAUUAUCUUAUUUAUGUACGUGCCUUGAUAUCAGCCAUUGUACUUAGUUAGCCAUGAGUAUGGUAGAUGUUAUGCAGAUUUAAGAUUUGUUGUAUGCAAUUUGUAGGUUGAUUAAGUGAGGAAACUUAUUGUAGGCUGAUGUGAAUUGAAACCUUGAUUAUACUGUUGUUAUACCUUUGUUUAAGGUCACAUGGGAUGAAGUAUCUUGCUUCUACCAAUAAUAUAAAGUCAAUUUCAUGUUUU